CACUUUUCUCCAACUCCAAGGCCACCGUCCUAAUCCAGGCUCUCAUCAUUUUCCACACAGAUAAUUAUAAUUGCUGCUGAACUAAUUGUAGUGGGUUGAAUGGUGAUCCCCCCAAAAGGUGUGUAUCAUGUCCUGGAAUCUGUGAAUGUGACCUUCUUUGGAAAAGAGCGUUUUUGCAGAUGUAAUUAAGUUAAGGAUCUCAAGAUGAGAUCAACCUGGAUUAUCCGAGUGGGCCCUAAAUCUACUGACAAGUGUCCAGUGCUGUAAGAGACACACAGAGGAGAAGACAGAGAGAAGAGGAUAAUGUCAUGUGAAGAGAGAGGCAGAGAUGGGAGUUACACAGCCACAAGCCAGAGGAGUCCUGCAGCGACUAUAAGCUGGAAGAGGCAAAGAUCUGAUUCCCCUCUAGAGCCUUAAGAGGGGAGUGUAGCCCUGCCAACACCUUGAUUUUGGACUUCUGGCCUCCAGAACUGUGCACAGAGGGAAGACUACACUUCCCAGGCCUCCUUGCGGUGAGGUUGAGGCCAUGUGACUAGUCUUGGGACAAUGGAGCGGGUGCAGAGUGAUACAGGCCACUUCUGAACUUGGCCAUAAAAUGUCCUGUACAGUUUUUACCUCGUCUCUCUCCCUUCACUCAUUGGCUGCCUAGAAGCUGAGAAGUCACUGGAGAACUCAGGGAUGGAGAGACAAGAGAUUAAGGAGCACCAUCCUUUGGUUUGGCCUGUUUUUUGUUAUGUAAAUGGAACCAUACAUAGAUUCCUGAGCUCUCUGAAGGCAAGGUCCCUGUCUGUCUUGUCGGACACAUAUUUAAGAUUUGGCUAGGAGUGGGGCAGCCUUUAAGUAAGAGUCGAAGGUUUGAAGUCAAAAAGGAACGAACGGGAAGAACAAGCCUUCCACCUCAUCCUCACCACCACCUUACUGGGGGGUGUGGAAGGAAAGCAUAAGCUCUAGACCAAGAAACGGCUAAAGGCCCGGGAAGAGCAGAGGAG
RNAcentral lists this long non-coding RNA (989 nucleotides) under Equus asinus (donkey). Its description in RNAcentral is "lncRNA (ENSEASG00005035144.1)". Lineage: Eukaryota; Metazoa; Chordata; Mammalia; Perissodactyla; Equidae. The record is from RNAcentral.